AGCCGGGCGGGGCAACCAGGGCGGGGCAACCCGGGCGGCGGGGGCGGAUCCGCGUCCGGAGGCCGCGCCUCCCUCCCUGAAGAUGGCUGCAGAGGCCCAGGGCUGGGCUCCGCGAUGCUGACAACGUCCCUUGGGCUGCGCCCGGGACUGGAGAAGCGGGUCACCUGCCGCCGCGCCGCCUGGUCUCAGCAGUCCGCGGGGACGCGCGCUGCCAAGAGUGGAGAAUCCGAGUGGGGCAGACCUAGUCCCGGGACUGGGAAGAGAUAGUCGCAGGGACUGGGCGCCAAGAAGCUUGCUGAUCGCGCGCUCCCAACGGCAGCCCUGGGGAUGCAGAGGGGUGGCGUGAGAUGCUUACGGAGCUGCGGCCGGUUCGGACUGGAUGGGCAGAAUUCCCCCUCUGAAAUCUUAUGCAGAUCCUUCUCCCACUCUCCACCGAAGUGCUCAACGGCCAGCACACGCAUACAAUUUUCUUGCAGUAUUUUGUUUUGUUUUUGGGCUCACCAGAAACUCAGAGAGUGAAGAAAUACUGUUAAAGGAAGUUCCUAAACUGGGCAGACAGUACAACCCUGUGUGGUUUUCUCGGUGCAAGGGUUAGAAACAAAACCGAUACCAAGCAAGGAAGGAGGCCAGCCAACGUCACUGGUCAACAGAUAAAAUAUUACUUUUGCAAAUUACAAGUGUUCUCACCCCAAGAUUCUGAAACAAACUACAAGGGCCUGAAAAGAAGGAAAACAAACCAGAACUCUCACUGGCAGUUGCUGAAGAAACUAGACUCCCAUCUACGCCUGCAGCCAAACUCCCCAUGGACCAAAUGCUAGAUGGGUGGUUCUCAACCUUCAGUGCAUGUUAGUGUCACUCAGGGAGCUUUUAAACCAUUGUACUCCUGCCAAUUAAAACAGAAUUUUUUGCGGGGCAAGGGGAUGGGGGCCCAGGCAUUAGUAUGUUUCAAAUACAAUUCUAAUGGGAAGCCAAGGCUGAGAACCAAUGUGUCAGAGCAGUGCUUCUCAACCAUAAACUUGUCCUUGAUUUACCUGGGAGGAUUAGUUAAAAAUGCAGAUCUGAGUCAUAGGUCAGGGCUGGAGUCUGAGCUUCUGCACUUCUAACAAGCUUGCAAGUGAUGCCCAUGCUGCAGGAUCCCAGCCCAUACUUUGGUGACAAGGAGCUGGAGGACUUGUGCUUUGUCAUUCUCUCUUCAAGUACUUCCAUAGAGAAGAUAGCAGGUCUAUCACCUCCAAGCCUGAAAGUACCAAUAGCAA
Long non-coding RNA from Piliocolobus tephrosceles (Ugandan red Colobus), 1256 nucleotides. RefSeq lists it as uncharacterized. The record is from RefSeq and is a predicted model, not a curated record. NCBI's taxonomy places the organism in Eukaryota, Metazoa, Chordata, Mammalia, Primates, Cercopithecidae. The transcript has 3 exons.